CCUAUCUUUAUAGUAAUAAUAAAAGAUAGUAAUAAUGUUUAUAUUUGAAAUAGCAAAUUUAGAUCUAGUUAUUUAAUAAUUUUCACAUGAUAUUCAAUUAAUUUUCAUUUUUAUGGCAAUGGUUAGCUUCUACAUAAACACAGUUGCAUAUAUAAGUCAUUUUUUUGUCACAUUUUUGGUACUUAUAUUUUUUUGUUAUAGGAAGAUGUUGUAAGAAGGGCAAGGAAUCUCAAGAGAGAUACAAAGGUGGAAGUGUACUCGAACAUCGACAAUCAAAGCAACCUCAUAAUCGCACAACGAUCACAAGGCAUGUGGUUAGUCCAGCUUCCCGAGCGUAAUGAAUCGCAUAAGAUGGAGAAGCCAUCCAUAAUGAAGAAAGCGAUCAUGAAGAGAGCGAACUCAGAAAAUGUGAGAAAUGAUUAUGUGAAGCCCUUACAUAUAUAUCAAGGGCCUGCAUCAACAAUUUUCUCAAGAAGGACUUACCAACAGAAGCACCUCAACAUGGCCGAGGCCCGAGGCCCGCGGCCCUCAAUCUCCACCGCGCAGCCAUGAAACCGCCUCAAAUCUAGCCACGGCGCCUCGAUUUUCCAAGAAUCUAAGCUCCCAAUCCUUAAAUGCAGAUCAUGUAUCCCUGCUCGCCUUACUGUAUCUCUUGUUGGCUGCCUCCGCAGCAGAAGAAAGCUUCUGCGAGGAGACACCUUCAGGAGGCGGCAAAGAGGACAUUGUGAGCUCGCCCUUUGAUGAAGAAAUGGAUGAAUUUCCGCCAUGGUUGAAUGAGGUUUGAAGAUGCAAUGUGUUCUUGAUUGUCAUCAAUGAUGUCCUCUAAAUGAAAGGCUAACUUUGUAGUUUAAUUCCCCAUUCUUAGCAUAGUUAUUAUGUUUAUUUUCAUAAAAUUGUGUAUGUAGGAACUAUUAUAUGGGAAUGGGAUCCCUCAUUAUUAUUAA
This is a long non-coding RNA of Salvia splendens (bonfire salvia), 944 nucleotides long. RefSeq lists it as uncharacterized. NCBI's taxonomy places the organism in Eukaryota, Viridiplantae, Streptophyta, Magnoliopsida, Lamiales, Lamiaceae. The transcript is spliced from 2 exons. The record is from RefSeq and is a predicted model, not a curated record.